This 451-nucleotide ribosomal RNA is filed under the name uncultured bacterium. RNAcentral's name for it is "bacterial SSU rRNA". It matches the Rfam family "Bacterial small subunit ribosomal RNA", at positions 28 to 512 of the family's 1533-position model. The record is from RNAcentral.
GAUGAACGCUGGCGGCGUGCCUAAUACAUGCAAGUCGUGCGGAAAGGCCACUUCGGUGGUACUCGAGCGGCGGACGGCAGAGUAACGCGUAGGAACAUACCCCAAACUGAGGCAUAACUGCUCGAAAGAGCAGCUAAUACCGCAUGUGAUCUUCGGAUUAAAGCUUCGGCGGUUUGGGAAUGGCCUGCGUCCGAUUAGCUAGUUGGUGAGGUAAAUGCUCACCAAGGCUUCGAUCGGUAGCUGGUCUGAGAGGAUGAUCAGCCUGACUGGAACUGAGAACGGUCCAGACUCCUACGGGAGGCAGCAGUAGGGAAUUUUCCACAAUGGGCGAAAGCCUGAUGGAGCAACGCCGCGUGCAGGAUGAAUGCCUUCGGUUGUAAACUGCUUUUAUAGUUGAAGAAUAAUGACGGUAACUAAUGAAUAAAGGGUACGGCGUAACUAACGUGCCAGC